This is a long non-coding RNA of Grus americana (Whooping crane), 609 nucleotides long. RefSeq lists it as uncharacterized. Lineage: Eukaryota; Metazoa; Chordata; Aves; Gruiformes; Gruidae. The record is from RefSeq and is a predicted model, not a curated record. The transcript is spliced from 6 exons.
GCUGCCUCCCGCUGCAGGCAAGAGAGCGCCUGCCUCGCCGGGCGGAGGACAGCCGAGCGACCGGAGCGACAGCAAAGGAAAGGCGGAGAGCGGGAGAAAGAAGCGUCUGCGCUGGCAAGCUCUCCCGGCAGCGCCGAGAGCCAGAGCUGCGGUGCUGCUGCGCCGAUGCUCCGUACGUUCGCAGUAACGGGUAGAGCGGAAGGCUCCGUGGCCAGGGAAGAGCGGCACGGACGCGUUCCUGCUCGCUCCGUUGCACCGGAAUUUCGACGGCUGGGUUCGGCCGCUAAAUUGAUGGCGCUACCGGAAGAAAUUUCAGAAAAGGUGGCUUUUUCGUCGAUCUCUUUGUGAGAGUAUCAAAUCAGGCGGCGGUAAAUACGUAGAAGCAACUAGGCGUACUACGGCGUGUACCGGACAGCGUUGGCGUGCCGCUCUGCUAGCAGCGGAGAGCCAGAUGAGGAUGCCCGUGAUAUGAGAAAAGCUCUGUCCAGAGAUAUGGAGACGAAAUCAGUUGUACCUCACCCUGUGACACCGGAAGACAUUGAGUAACUCGUCCUGCAGCUGGCUCCUCGGUUUUGGCGGCAGCCUGCACAUAGCAGCCCAGCUCUCCAG